AACGCUAGCUACAGGCUUAACACAUGCAAGUCGAGGGGCAGCGGGAUUGAAGCUUGCUUCAAUUGCCGGCGACCGGCGCACGGGUGAGUAACGCGUAUCCAACCUUCCGUACACUCAGGGAUAGCCUUUCGAAAGAAAGAUUAAUACCUGAUGGUAUGAUGAGAUUGCAUGAUAGCAUCAUUAAAGAUUUAUCGGUGUACGAUGGGGAUGCGUUUCCAUUAGGUAGUAGGCGGGGUAACGGCCCACCUAGCCAACGAUGGAUAGGGGUUCUGAGAGGAAGGUCCCCCACAUUGGAACUGAGACACGGUCCAAACUCCUACGGGAGGCAGCAGUGAGGAAUCUUCCGCAAUGGACGAAAGUCUGACGGAGCAACGCCGCGUGAACGAUGACGGCCUUCGGGUUGUAAAGUUCUGUUAUACGGGACGAAUGGUACGACGGUCAAUACCCGUCGUAAGUGACGGUACCGUAAGAGAAAGCCACGGCUAACUACGUGCCAGCAGCCGCGGUAAUACGUAGGUGGCAAGCGUUGUCCGGAAUUAUUGGGCGUAAAGGGCGCGCAGGCGGCGUCGUAAGUCGGUCUUAAAAGUGCGGGGCUUAACCCCGUGAGGGGACCGAAACUGCGAUGCUAGAGUAUCGGAGAGGAAAGCGGAAUUCCUAGUGUAGCGGUGAAAUGCGUAGAUAUUAGGAGGAACACCAGUGGCGAAAGCGGCUUUCUGGACGACAACUGACGCUGAGGCGCGGAAGCCAGGGGAGCAAACGGGAUUAGAUACCCCGGUAGUCCUGGCCGUAAACGAUGGAUACUAGGUGUAGGAGGUAUCGACCCCUUCUGUGCCGGAGUUAACGCAAUAAGUAUCCCGCCUGGGGAGUA
This 868-nucleotide ribosomal RNA is filed under the name uncultured bacterium. Its description in RNAcentral is "bacterial SSU rRNA". It matches the Rfam family "Bacterial small subunit ribosomal RNA", at positions 32 to 882 of the family's 1533-position model. The record is from RNAcentral.